RNAcentral lists this long non-coding RNA (241 nucleotides) under Sus scrofa (pig). RNAcentral describes it as "lncRNA (ENSSSCG00070004319.1)". Lineage: Eukaryota; Metazoa; Chordata; Mammalia; Artiodactyla; Suidae. The record is from RNAcentral.
CCUACUCACACCCCCCCGUGCCUGGCACAGAGAAGCUGCUUAAUAUAUAUUUAAGGAGUGAACCAACGAAUAAAUAAUUGAAUUCAUGCAGACUCCUGAGAUGUUCAAGAUGCAUACAUCAUGUGAGGAUAAGAUUCAGAUGAAAGACAUCGAAAAAUCACAAAUCUAAAAGAUCCAGGACAAUCUCAUGGGCAUGGGAAUUGCCACACGGGCCAGAACCCAAGGCCCAAGGGGACAGAGU